CUCUUUAAUUAAUUAUGUAAAGUAGGCCCUGCUCACUGACUCUGUUAAAUAGCCGCAGAAUUUUAACUGUGCUAAGGUAGCAUAAUCACUUGUAGCUUAAUUGGCUUCUAGUAUAAAAGGGUUGACGAAAAAAAAUCUAUCUUAACUUUACUUCUUGAAAUUUAUAUUAGAGUAAAAACCCUCUAAAACUCUAGAAAGACGACAAGACCCUAGAACCUUAUAAUUUAUUGGGGGAAUAAGAAAUAUUUAAAUACUUCUUAAUUAAACACUAUGAAUGACCUUUACUUACUAAUUUUAAAUCCAAUACAGGUACUCUAGGGAUAACAGCACAAUUUUCCUCAAGAGUUCUUAUCGACAGGAGAGAUUGUGACCUCGAUGUUGAAUUGGUACUUCUCUUUUAAGCAACCUUAAACUAUAGAAGGUCUGUUCGACCUUUAAUUUACCACA
This 447-nucleotide ribosomal RNA is filed under the name Giribetia insulana. RNAcentral describes it as "partial 16S ribosomal RNA". It matches the Rfam family "Bacterial large subunit ribosomal RNA", at positions 1893 to 2600 of the family's 2925-position model. The record is from RNAcentral. Lineage: Eukaryota; Metazoa; Arthropoda; Arachnida; Opiliones; Stylocellidae.